CCUACGGGUGGCAGCAGUGGGGGAUAUUGCACAAUGGGGGAAACCCUGAUGCAGCGACGCCGCGUGGGCGAAGAAGUAUUUCGGUAUGUAAAGCUCUAUCAGCAGGGAAGAAGAAAUGACGGUACCUGAGUAAGAAGCACCGGCUAAAUACGUUCCAGCAGCCGCGGUAAUACGUAUGGUGCAAGCGUUAUCCGGAUUUACUGGGUGGAAAGGGAGCGCAGGCGGCACGGCAAGCCUGAUGUGAAAGCCCGGGGCCCAACCGCGGGACUGCAUUGGGAACUACCGGGCUGGAGUGCCGGAGAGGUAGGCGGAAUUCCUAGUGUAGCGGUGAAAGGCGUAGAUAUUAGGAGGAACACCAGUGGCGAAGGCGGCCUACUGGACGGUGACUGACGCUGAGGCUCGAAAGCGUGGGGAGCAAACAGGAUUAGAUACCCGAGUAGUC
This 442-nucleotide ribosomal RNA is filed under the name uncultured bacterium. RNAcentral's name for it is "partial 16S ribosomal RNA". It matches the Rfam family "Bacterial small subunit ribosomal RNA", at positions 338 to 795 of the family's 1533-position model. The record is from RNAcentral.